This is a non-coding RNA of Nicotiana tabacum (common tobacco), 602 nucleotides long. The record is from RefSeq and is a predicted model, not a curated record. Lineage: Eukaryota; Viridiplantae; Streptophyta; Magnoliopsida; Solanales; Solanaceae.
UCGAGUCCGAGACCAAAGUAAUAUAAAUUUGGACUUGAAGAACCAAACAAACAUGGAAAAAAAAAUCUUGAACCAAACUACAUAUAAUGCAUAGGGUAUAUGCGUUAUAUGCGUCUGGGCAAAGGGGCCUAACAGCCGUUAACCGGCCCAAAGUGAUAUAACGCAUGGUGGCAUGCGCUAUAUGUCCCAUAUUAAACCUCUUCUUCCCGACAGAAAGGACACAAUACGGUCGCUCCCCCAUUUUAAAUUUCGCCCGGCUUGUGAAGGUCCUACCAUGCGAAUUGUUUAAGUUUUCUACCAAAAAACACAAGAUUCAAGGUAUAUUCAAGGCGUAGAAGAAGAAUUUUGCUCGAAUUUCGGGGAAAAUGGAGCAUUUCGGCCACAUUGAAUAUUGAGGAAAAAGAUUCAAGCUUGAGGUUUGGAGCCCCGAGGGCUCAGAUGAGUUUCAGACAUAUUUCGAAAUGAAUUGAACUGAAAAUAGAAUUAAUGGUGUUGCUGGUGCUCUAGUAUCGCAAUUGCGAGAAUCAGCCUCACAAUGAAGCAAUUUUAGGAGGUCCCGAUAGACAGGUUGACAGUCCUCUUAGUAGGCUAUUAGAUCAGCG